RNAcentral lists this ribosomal RNA (253 nucleotides) under uncultured bacterium. Its description in RNAcentral is "partial 16S ribosomal RNA". It matches the Rfam family "Bacterial small subunit ribosomal RNA", at positions 524 to 776 of the family's 1533-position model. The record is from RNAcentral.
UACGGGGGGGGCAAGCGUUGUUCGGAAUUACUGGGCGUAAAGGGCUCGUAGGUGGUCAACUAAGUCGGACGUGAAAUCCCUCGGCUUAACCGGGGAACUGCGUCCGAUACUGGAUGACUUGAGUUCGGGAGAGGGAUGCGGAAUUCCAGGUGUAGCGGUGAAAUGCGUAGAUAUCUGGAGGAACACCGGUGGCGAAGGCGGCAUCCUGGACCGACACUGACGCUGAGGAGCGAAAGCCAGGGGAGCAAACGGG